Molecule: ribosomal RNA, 500 nt
Filed under: uncultured bacterium
Lineage: Bacteria
Description: partial 16S ribosomal RNA
Rfam family: Bacterial small subunit ribosomal RNA
Source: RNAcentral
AUUGAACGCUGGCGGAAUGCUUUACACAUGCAAGUCGAACGGCAGCACGGACUUCGGUCUGGUGGCGAGUGGCGAACGGGUGAGUAAUAUAUCGGAACGUGCCCAGUCGUGGGGGAUAACGUAGUGAAAAUUACGCUAAUACCGCAUACGAUCUACGGAUGAAAGCGGGGGAUCGCAAGACCUCGCGCGAUUGGAGCGGCCGAUAUCAGAUUAGGUAGUUGGUGGGGUAAAGGCUCACCAAGCCAACGAUCUGUAGCUGGUCUGAGAGGACGACCAGCCACACUGGGACUGAGACACGGCCCAGACUCCUACGGGAGGCAGCAGUGGGGAAUUUUGGACAAUGGACGCAAGUCUGAUCCAGCCAUUCCGCGUGCAGGACGAAGGCCUUCGGGUUGUAAACUGCUUUUGUACAGAACGAAAAGGUUUCUAUUAAUACUAGGAGCUCAUGACGGUACUGUAAGAAUAAGCACCGGCUAACUACGUGCCAGCAGCCGCGGUAA